This 28-nucleotide small RNA is filed under the name Bombyx mori (domestic silkworm). RNAcentral describes it as "ovarian small RNA-27998". The record is from RNAcentral. Lineage: Eukaryota; Metazoa; Arthropoda; Insecta; Lepidoptera; Bombycidae.
UCCUGUUUCGCUGAGAGUCCGAGAUGGA